Molecule: ribosomal RNA, 598 nt
Filed under: uncultured Verrucomicrobiota bacterium
Lineage: Bacteria; Pseudomonadati; Verrucomicrobiota
Description: bacterial SSU rRNA
Rfam family: Bacterial small subunit ribosomal RNA
Source: RNAcentral
UGCCGCGUGAGUGAUGAAGGCCCUAGGGUCGUAAAGCUCUUUCAACUGUGAAGAUAAUGACGGUAGCAGUAGAAGAAACCCCGGCUAACUCCGUGCCAGCAGCCGCGGUAAUACGAAGGUCCCAAGCGUUGUUCGGAAUCACUGGGCGUAAAGCGUGUGUAGGCUGCGCGGAAAGUCAAAUGUGAAAGCCCGGGGCUCAACCUCGGAACUGCAUUCGAUACUCCCGUGCUAGAGUAAUGGAGAGGUAAGUGGAAUUCCUGGUGUAGCAGUGAAAUGCGUGGAUAUCAGGAGGAACAUCAAUGGCGAAGGCAACUUACUGGACAUUUACUGACGCUCAGACACGAAGGCUAGGGUAGCGAAAGGGAUUAGAUACCCCUGUAGUCCUAGCAGUAAACGGUGCUCGCUUGGUGUGGGAGGAUUCGACCCCUUCUGUGCCGGAGCUAACGCGUUAAGCGAGCCGCCUGGGAAGUACGGUCGCAAGACUAAAACUCAAAGAAAUUGACGGGGACCCGCACAAGCGGUGGAGUAUGUGGCUUAAUUCGAUGCAACGCGAAGAACCUUACCUAGGCUUGACAUGCUUGUCGUACUCUCCCGAAAA